AAUUCCUCAACCAUGCCCAGUCAUGGGUGUGGCUUGGAUAACUGGGGGUUGUGGGCUUUUUAGAAAUGAUAAAAAGCUGGCUCCUCUGAAAUGCAUUAGUGGCAGAGAGAAAGACCACUACAGGUGUGAUUAACUAUCUACAUCUUUUGGUUAUCAUGUUAUGCUGCUUCUAAACCUAGUAGUGCCCAUGGCACAUUUUGACAA
This 204-nucleotide unclassified non-coding RNA is filed under the name uncultured Inocybe. RNAcentral describes it as "sequence contains ITS2". The record is from RNAcentral. Lineage: Eukaryota; Fungi; Basidiomycota; Agaricomycetes; Agaricales; Cortinariaceae.